CAAAAAAAAAAAAAAAAACAACAACAAAAAACAAAUAUGCAUUGUAGUUCUUGAUCAAUGGAGUCUUUGGGAAAGAAGUUUCUAAGAGGUCUUAGUUGUAUUUUUUUAUUCUCUUACUGACUUGGCACAGAGUAUAUUCUUAAUAGGUUUUAUUAUUAAUACAUUUUAUUGGCUAUUGAUGUAGCAGGGAAGAGAGACUGAGGAACGUGAUGAGAGUCUGUGCCUUCACAUAAGAACUCAAAUACUGAGAAGUUUCCCUAAGCUUUCUUUCUGCUUCCUGGGUCCCCUCCCCAGUGCCUGGGAUAGGUACUCAAAGAAGUUUGCUGAUGGGAAUGCUGUCGGUGGUCAAGAGGUGCCUGGUUGGCAUUGGAGAAGAGGAGAAGUGUAUUCCAGGAGAGGGAAACAGCACUAGCAAACCCACCCACAUAGAAGCAGAACUAGGCCUAGAACCAGCUCCCAUUCCUUAACACCACUAUGCUUUUACCUCUGUCGUUACUAACAAGGAUUUGGGAAGGCAAAGUAAUAUCUUGUGAUGCUUCGGAACCAGUACUUUUCAAUGGAUUUCAUUCAGUGUGCUGAGCUUUUAGUCAGUGUCUUUUAAGCCAUUUUUUAAAAGCCAAUGCCUCAGGCUCCACCCCAGAAAUUCUGAUUUAAUUUGAAAGGCUCCCCAGGUGAAUCUAAACCAGUGGUUCUCAGACUUUCAAGUGUAUGAGAAUCAUUUGCAGGGCUUCUUAGACCCAGAUUGCUGGGCCCACACCCAGAGUUUCUGGUUCAGUAGAUCUGGGGUAUGGUCCAAGAAUUUGCAUUUCUUUUAAAAUUCCAGGUGAUGCUGAUAUUGAUACUUUGAGAACCACUGUACUAAACAGAGUGGCCAGAGGCAGUAUUGGAAACUCCCAGCCUUGCAUCUUUAUGGGCAAGGGACUAUGUGUUCUUGGUCUUUGUUUCCACGGUGCCUAGCAUAGUGUAGGUACUCAGUGCAUGAUGAAUUGACAAAUUGAUAACAACCUUAAUGAAGCUCACAGCUCAAGCAGUUGCCUAGCCUGCCAUCCCUGAAGCUCAUGGGUUGAGGCAGGAGAAGUACUUCGAGAAGAUCACAAGUGUUCCCCCACUAAGGAAGUUGUCAAAUGGCCACCAGCUUGACAUAGGAGAGCUGCCUUCAUCUCUCUUAGUAGCUGCCACUGUCUUGAAAGGUAAGGCGAGCCCAGGGGGCCACUGUCACUUUCUCUAGACUUCUGAAGAAAGAUGGAGUAGCUGUGUUCAGUGUGGGCUUGAGGGCAGAGCAAGGGCAGCAGAAGCAACAUAAGGAAGACCUUUGAAAGUCAGAGCUGACCAACAGUGAAUUGAUCUGCUUGAGGACUUGAUGAGCUCCCGAUCACUGGAGGAAGCAGAGCCUAGGCCUCUACUCAGCGGGAUGCUUUAGUGUCUUCUAGCCCAGUGAUUCUUUCUUUCACAGACCAUCCUGUUCAAGUUGUAGUCUCAGUCUGAAGUCCACCUGGCAGCCCAGCCACAUUCUCUGGUCCCUUCUGAAACCCAGGACACAGAACAGCUCUCUGUCCAUAGUAGCAGGGAGGAGAGACUGAGGAACGUGAUGAGAGUCUGUGCCUUCACGUAACUCAAAUACUGAGAAGUUUCCCUAAGCUUUUCUUUCUGCUUCCCAGGUCCUCUCCCCAGUGCCUGGGAUAGGUACUCAAAGAAGUUUGCUGAUGGUAAUGCUGUUGGUGGUCAAGAGGUGCCUGGUUGGCAUUGGAGAAGAGGAGAAGUGUAUUCCAGGAGAGGGAAACAGCGCUAGCAAAAGGAUGGCAGUGAGAAUGCGUGAGGCAUAGGGGAGACCAUGUUCCAAACAAUGGGAGAUGGGAGUAUGCAAAGAUAAGGUGGAGAAAUACAAUGGACGGACCUUAAAGACAAGUAAAAGAAUGUGGAUUUGUCCUGUGUCUGUUUAGCUGGGUCUAGACCAGAACGCUGGGUAACUGCUAGGCUGGAUGAGCCAGUGUGACAGAGUCUUCUCAGAUUUUGGAAGCUGCACUUUUCCUCCUCUCACCCCUCCUCUUUAUUCUUCUCUUUCUCCUCCUCACUGUAAGCUGUCCCUUGAGUUCUAUUCUGAACUCUUAAUGGUUUUUCUAUCUCACUAGGGACAGUGUGCAAACCCUCCUUGGCUUGGCCUGGUUGGGGCUGGGCCCGGGGCCGGCUCAGGAGAGCCGGGGAGAGGAGGCGGCUCCCAGCAAUAAGCAACCCACAGAAUUGUGUCUGUUAUUUAUGAAAAAGUUUCUGGGUUUUCGGCUAAUUGCAAAAAUACAUAAUGGAUGCUUUUCGCAUCUGCUAGUUAUUCUGGAACAGGCCUGCAUCCAAGAGCAAACUUUAAACAAACAAUAAGAUUAUGGAGCUUAACUAUUUCAAUGUGUGACAGAAAAGAAAGCCAAGGCCCCAAAAGUUGCAUUAAUACACAUGCACUCAGACACAAGCAAAGGAACGACAGAUACACAUACAUACAAAUAUACAGAUUCACAUCCUGGUACCAGUGCACACAAAUGCGUGCUUGGGUACUAGCACCUAGUACAUACGUGGACGUACAACUCAAACACAUGUGCCCAGUCACAGGCACCAGUGCACAUACUCACACACGAAGACAAAUGCACAUGCAUGCACUCACGUACAUGUAUACCCCUACACAGUUGGGCAGCACAAGCGCGCAGACACAAAAGCACACAGACAUACAACCCCAGACACCAGUGCAACAAGUGGGCCUCCUAGGUGGGUGAGUGGGUCUUCCCAGUCCAGAGGUAAGUAACGUACUCAGCUGGGCACUGGCUGUGCCUGGGUGGUAUCGGGUGUAGUUAUUCGGUGUGGCCACCAAGGGGCACCCAGGAUCCAUACUGCAUCCACUUUUUUGCUGGUUCUGUCAGCCCGUCAAUUGUUUUUGUACCCACAAGCUUGCGUCUUCCUGUUCCGGAUCCCUGAACAGAGCUGAGAGGCUCCUUGCUCCCAGCUCCAGCCUUCUAGGACCCACCGUAUUCAUUCUCACCUUGUCCCUGUCUCAAACCGCUGAAACAAGCACAGGUCUCCACCCCUCCUCCCUCCCAGCUGAACAUACACUUCAGAGCCCCCUGCUCAGUCCUCAGACUGCUCUUUGGAGAAGUGGAUCUGUCAGGUCUUGAUCAUAAUGUAGCCUCCACCAAAGCUUCUCUCCCAGGAGCAGCUGUGAAAAUCCCACCUAUUUUUCAAAGUCUGCUUCAGCAUCUCCCUGUGCAGGACUGCCAAAGUUAACAAUGUGUGUUAAAAUAAUUGAAUAGAUGAGUUAAUGUCCAGCUCAACACCUGACUCUGCCUCGUCCACUGACCCCAGCCGGAGAGGUCUCUCACCCUCUAGUACCUGCCUCCCGGCUUUUUAUGUGCUUUUAUGAAACAAAUCCAAGCUUUUAUACAUAGCAAAGCAGAAGUCAACCCCUUUCAGCAUCCCUGACAGGUAGCUACCCUAGUAACAGAGAAAUCACCCCUUCCUGAACAGCCCUCCUCACUGGGUCUAGAAAGUUCCUCUGUGUUCCUUCUCCAUAAACAUUCUCAGAGCUCCUUCAUGACAGGGGCUGUGGCAGGCUCCGAACAGACAAGAUCUCUGCCCUUCAACAAAUUAGUCUAGUGAGGGCGUUUAACCAGUACAGCAUGAAGCAUGCAAUAGUACAGUAAGUACAAAGUGCAGGGGAGAGUGUGAUGAACUUUCCAGAGGAGUGAGGUGGGGAGUCAGGGAGACAUUUACAGAGGGAGUGAGAGCUGAACUGAGACUCAAAAUGAAUAAGAACAAUCAUUAUAGUUCUGUAUACUGAACAUUUACUGUGUGUGUGACUGCUCAUCCUCAGAGGUGAAAUUCUAAUUCUAACUCGUGUCUGCCUAUCUGCAGUCUGAGAGCUUAGCCACUAGUCUAAAACACUUCAUAUGACAUAAAUCAAGUAAGAGUUUGGGGGCAGCAGGGAGGGGAAGGGCAUGCCAGGUGUUUUAGUUUUCUAUUGCUGCCUAACAGAUCAUCACAAACUUGGUGACUUUGAACAACACCCACUUGUUACCUCAGUUUUGUAGGUCAGAAGUCUGGGUUCUCUGCUCACAGUAUCACAAAGCUGAAAUCAAGGUGGUAUCUGGAGGCUCAGGAAAGAAUCCACUUCCAAGCUUCCAUACUGUUGGCUGAAGUCAAUUCCUUGCGGUUGUAGGACUGAGAUUCCUGUUUCCUUGGUGACUGUUGGUCAUGGGGUACUCUUGGCACUAGAGGCUGUGCUCACAUCCUUUCCAUGUGCCCCCUCCAUUUUCCAGUCAAGAAAGGCAGACAGAAUCUUUCCCAUGCUUCAAACCCCUGACUUCUUCUGUCACCAGCUGGUCAAGCGAAUCUUUUAUGCUUUGUUUAUAGAUGCAUCUGAAAACUUAGAAACUAGUAAACUGUUUCUCAUGUAAUUGUGUUAUCAUUGUUCAUUGCAGGUCUGGGGAUUCCUAGAUUGCAUAUUCUUACUUGCACCACUUUUUCUUUUCCUCAAAUUCCUAACUGCCUUUAUCUCUCCCUCAUAUUUAUCCAGUCUCGCUUUUAUCCAGUCUUCCUCUCUCACCAGAGACUUCCUUCCAAGUCCCUCUAUUCUCAUGCUGUAAUGUGAUCAGCUAGUGUCCAAGCCUGCUGGAAAUCCAUCACUUUAACUUCCUUUCACAGCUUUCUGUGUGGGGUCCACCCUUUUUUGAAACAUGUUUCCCACUUUCGUGGUUUAUGUCCAUGUUUGUCUAGAGCACACCCACACCCUCCAAGUAACCACCUGAGGAAGAAUGCAUAGGAUGUAAAUAUUCUCACUCCUGGCGUGUCUCCCUAUGUCUUUACUGUAUCUGUAUAGUUGAUGGUUCAUACGACUGUGUUCCCUCAGCACUUUGAAGCAUUUCUCUACUAACUUAGAGCAUCCUGUGUUGCUGCUGAGAAUUCUGAAGUCACUCUGAUUACCAUCCCUUUAUGACCUUUUUUUCUUUAUUUUUAUCUUUCUCCCAUCUGAAAGCUUUUAGAUCUUCUCUUUAUCUCCCUGUAUUUAAAAAGUCAGGAUAUGGUACCCAAGGGCAGGUCAUUUUUUCAUUCAUUUUUGGGUGCACAUAUUGAGCUCUCUUAAUAUGGAGACUUUGUGGACUUUGUUCAAGGGAAAUUUUCUUAGGUAACUUUUAAAUAUAAAUUUCUCCAUUUUUAUCUGUUUUUGCUAGAAUUCCCAUUUAGAUUUUUAACUUCGUGUAUUGAUCCUUUAUGUCUCAUAUUUUCUACCUUCUUAUCUUUUUAUUUCACUCUCUGAGAAAUUUUCUGAACUUGAAAACAUUGAAACCUACUAAAAUUUGAAAUAUAUAUUUAAAUUUUCAAGAGCUCUCUCUUGUUCUCUGGUUGUUUCUUUUUUCUUCAUACCAUCUAGUUUUUAUUUUAUGGAUACACUGUCGCCUUGAAUCUCUGUAAGGAUUCUAUUGAGUGUAAAACUUUUUUCAUUUUUUUUUAAGUUCUUUUCUGGUCCUUGCAUUAUUUCCAUUUCCUUUGGGGUCAUUUUAUUUGUUUGUCUUACUCUUUCAGUUUGGUGGCUUUCCUCAGAUGUUUGGCAAUCCUUGGAUGUCCGUUCAUAUUUACAAAUGAAGAACCAAAGAGCUUGCUGAUUAACUAGUGUGCAUGCCUCAGGUUGACUGGGCAGUCAGUCAGUCUAUAGUAGAGGACUUGCUUCCCCUGCUCCCACCCCGAUACCAGAACAUGAAGGUCUUUCAUCUGGGGACAAUAGAUUGCUCCAGAAGUCCCCCUGAUCUCCCCCUGGAGAGUAGACCCUGACCUCUUGGUGCUCUGUGCCUGGCGUUGGGGAGAGACUGUCCAAUGUCGAUUUUUAAUUAAUCCCCUGUUUUAAGCUCUGUGUCUUGCUGGUUCUGCCAAGACAGGCUGCCUUCUUCCUUGGCUGUAUCUUCCUCUCCGCACACUCUGUCCUAAGACUUUCUCUGCCCUCCUGCAUCAGUUACCACUCCUCCACCUGCUUUCUGUUGUUCUGUUGUAAUAGCUUGUCUGCUGAGGUUACCUCACCCAUUAUCUUUAUUGUUGUGGUUUGCAUCCUUUGUAUUCCUUAAUAGUCAUUUUAUCAAUAGAAGUCUCUCAAGCAAAAGGGGCAUAAAACAAGAGUCAGUUUAUCAUCCUCAAGGACAUGUCAGCCCAAGCUCUUCCUUAUUAUCCCUCUAAUUACAGCACUGGCCCAGUUGUGAGGUCUUCCAAGUGUGUCUCCUGUGCACACUCUCUCCUCUCCUGGCCCCAGGCACCUCUUCCUCACCUAUCAAGUCUCUCUCCUCCUCAGGAAAGGACCGUAAACUCCUUUACUCUGAGGGUGCCUGUCAGAGGGUGAGAACUUCAGAGAACACAGUCCCCAUUGGUUCAGACCUAACAAAUGAAGAGUGAAUGGUGGGAUCUCAGUUCUAGGGCUUAGUUUAGGGAAGUUCUACCUCAAGUGUGAGUGCGGGUCUUCUAUGCCUCGAGGCCCUAAAACGCUCCCAUGUUACUCACUGGUGAUAAUAGUACAAAUGUGACUCCACCAGAGGACUGAGACGGCCCAACUGUGGCUGGAGAUCGGCUGCUGCUUCUCUGCACUACAACCCCUGCCCCCGGGCCUGGACUUUGACAGAAAAUCCAACUCACUCUGGCUUAAGCCUUUAGAACAUUAUUUGCUUACUUAAGUCCAGAGACUGUGUGGUGGCUCAUAGGUAACAAGGACCAUGACCCUUUCCAUCUUCCACAUCAUCGUCCUCAGGGUGUAGGUGUGGUAGAUUACAUUUUCCAAAGAUGGAGGCAGCAAUAUCUCCCAUGCCACUUGCUCUUCUGCAAUGUGACCUUGCCAUGCCUUCGUUAAGAGGUGGACUCAUGGAUAAAGAAGAUGUGGUAUAUAUAUAUACAAUGGAGUAUUACUCAGCCAAAGAAGAGUGAAAUAAUGCCAUUUGCAGCAACAUGGAUGGACCUAGAGAUUAUCGUACUAAGUGAAGAAACCAGCAGCCAUGCUGGGGUCACCCAAGCCACAUGAAGGGGCCAUGUGCAGGUGUCCUGGUCAAGAGCCCUGGCUGAGCUCUCACUGGACAUCCAGCAUCAACCGUCAGCUAUGUGAGUGAGCCAUCCAGGACAUCCAGACCAGCCUCAAGUUACAAGAUGGCCUCCUUAGCUCCGAGCAUCAUUACAAACAACCACAUCUAAAAACAGAAGUAAGGAAGUAAGUACAGACCAAAGUCUUUCUGCUUGAGUGACUUUCAGGGGGAGGAAUAUCUUACCCAGAAGUCACCCAGCAGAAUCCCCCGUAUUCUCAUUGGCCAGAACUGGGUCCCACAGCCUCUCCUAACCACUAGACAGGCUGGGUACAGCCUCUUCAGUGGGAGGUAGGCAAAGGAAUAGGAGGCUGGGAAUCGCUGUCGUUUGGUCAACCAACAGCGUCGGCUCUACUUUGUUGAUGUGGUGGUGGUUCUAGGGGGAAGAACAAUCAGGUGGGAAAAUGACCCCAUGCUAAAGACGGAACCUUCACUGCUCCUUCCAGAAGCGAAGCUGCCUCAGUGGGAACAAGUUUAUUGAAAACUCCUUUAGGUAGGAAGCAUGGUGUACUGCCUGGAGUCCCCCGCUGGGAGGCAGAACCUGGCCCUAGAGCUUGCUAGUGGUGCGGUAUUAGUGGGUUAGUUCCCCGUUCUGUGCCUCAGGUUCCUUAUCUGCACACUGAAAGGAUUCCUUCCAACUCCGUCACGUUAGGAGACGCUGAGGCAGAAGGGAAGUGCUGGACGCUUACAGUGUGUGGAGGCCAUGCAUUGCCCAAGUCAAGCUCGGCAGAGCCUGCCUCUGGCCACAGAUGUUGGGAUUUGCCAAACAAACUCUAAUCACUUAAUGAGAAAUGAAAAUGGUGCCUGGUUCCUCCACUUAAUUGCCCCUUUGAAAACAACACACGGGAGAUUUACAGUGAUCACCAUAAUCGCCUCGUAAAAACCCAAGAAUUUGAGGACUGCCAUGCCUCAUUUCUGGGAGGAAUUAGAGGCAAAAAUUAAGGCAAGGAAUUCCUGGCCUGCCUUGGCCUUGGCUCCCUGGAAUCCAGGACUCUGCCCACAGAGAGCCUGCCACCCUGGACAGCCUCCUGGCCCAGGCAAAUACGGCUCCAAAUGCUCCGCAGCAGUGUUUCCUCACAGGUCUGCUCCCUGCAUCUCCUUGUCAUUGGUACUGCCUAAGGGAGGUGGACCAAAUGCCAGAGGGCCUGACAUCCCUGAGGGUCAGAUGGAGGUCCUCAAGGAGGAGAGAGAGGAAUCUUGCUGCACCCGCUAGCGACAUCUGAGCUAAAGGACAGGAGGGGAGGGGAGAUGCGGAGGUGGGAGCGCAGGCUGUCCCUAGUCACUGGAAAGCCGCAGCUCUCAGGUUCUCCUGAGGCCAUCCACCUUGAUUUGGGAGGUGGAUGGGAGGCCAUCCACCUCCCACGACAAGGUGUUCUGACCUCCCAGGACAUCUGCUAAGGCAGGCUGGCAGGGAGAAGCUUCACACUCAGCUCAGCAGAAGUCUCUUGCCUUUCACUGCCUCAUAACUGGACUCAGAAUCACUGAGUGUCAAGGUUAGAACUGUCCUCUGGGUUUGCGUCUCCAGCUUCUCCCCUCGACAGCAAUAUUCCUUUCUUUCUUCCCUCUCACUCUCCUCUACUCAUUCAUUCAAAAAUAUCUAUUAAAUCCCCGACGUGCAUCAGAAACUACCGAUUCUUACCACAGUAGCCAGAGUGGUGCUUUUAAAACCUGAAUCAGAUCACUCUCCAAAUCAAAGGGAAGGCGGCUUCUGCAUGGCUCUCAUGCCCCGCCCUUCGCCCACUCUGCUCCAGCCACGCUGGCCCUCCUUGCUGUUCCUGGAAAACACCAGGGACCCUCCCACCUCAGCGCUUUUGCCCUUGCUGUUCCCACUGCCAGGAAGGCCCUUCCCCGGUAUAUCCAAAUGCCUCCCUCCCUCACUUCCUUCCAGGCCUUUCCUGACCUCCCUACAUAAAAUUGCACCCCUACUCUCUCUAUUAUCCUCCCCAACUUUAUUUCUGCCCAUCGUGCUCAUUACCUUCUGAGACACAGUCCACUCCAAGAUUUGCUGAUUGUCUCUCUUUCUACACUAGAAGGUAAGCUCCAAAGGGCAGGGAUUUUUGUCUUUAUUUUUUUUCCACGAUUAUAUUAAAACACUUAGCACAGCAGCUGUCACAUGGUAGGUGCUCAACAAAUAUCUGUUGAGUGAAUGAACCAUGUGGAGAGAGCAGAGAAAAAGAUAACCCCCCCACCCUUGUGGAACUUAGAGUCUGGUGGCAGAGGCAGACGUCAGGCAAACAGUCACCUGUAGGACUAAGUGACUCAACUGUGGUAAACGCUGGUGGGAACGCGGCAGGUGGAAUGAGGGUGAUCUGACCACAGGCCAGACAGGCCAGUUGGCGGAAAUUUGGCACAAAAAUCCUCUGUUUGCGAGAGGAUUGGACAUGUAGGGUGAUGAGGGUUUGGGCCGCGAAGCUUCAGGAGGAAAAGGUGCUGGAGAAGUUUGGGGUGCCACCUCUAGACCCUCUAAAGGCAACGGGACUCUGUGGCGAGAGGGUGGCCGUGCGCAAACUGGGUUCAAGUCCCCGCUCCUCUGCUUCUUCCCAGCCACUCACCCUGGGGCAAGCCACCUCAGGGCCAGAGCACUAGGUUCCUUGUCUGUGGGCUGGAGAAGGGAUAACUAGGCCUGCCGGGAGGAAGGGAUGAAAUAUCGGGUAGAGCCGGAGCCUGUAGGUGCUUGGUGAGUGCCAGCGCCUUUCUGGCCCCUUUCUUCUUUGUUGAACUUUUCAACACCCAAUCUCUUUUCAAACGGCUGCUCCGCCUUCUCUCCUGGCCCCUCACAGCCUUUGGGAGCAGUAUGAGGAAGGGAAGCAUCUAAUCGACCUGAAUGUCAACUGCAGGUUAACAGAAAUGAACAGGACCUUUGGGGGCAGCAUGUGACAGAGGAUUAGACUGAUUUCUGCUGAGCCCCAGCCCCUCCUGGGCUCCGGGCCAAACAGGGUUGACUUUGGAGCUAUUGACUACAUCUCCCAUCAGCCUCCGGGCCGAUGCCCUGCUGACCCAUCAUGGGACCAUGUGACUAGAAUGAAGCUUGGGGUGGGGGAUGGCUGACAAAGCUAGUGACACAACUAGUGUUGCCAACUGCCAGGCUCUGGGAGGAGCCCUCCUUGACUGACAACCUAGAGAGAGCUCCCAGCACCCAUGCACGCAUAUACACGUGCUCGCGUGCGCACACACGCACACGCACACGCAUAUCCACACACAGCUCCUGGCUCCACAGCCCCCCCCAACCCCCAUGGGAGGACGAACUCCCUGCUCCCUCACAUCCUGCUCUCUCUCCUGAUUGGUAAGUGGGGGAGGGAGGUUGGUAGGAGGCAGCAAACACAUCACUUCUUCCCAUGGUUAGCGUGAACAGUGGCUACACUCAGGCGUGUGGCAAACUCUCCCGUACUGUGGGCCGGCUCCAGUGUUAAGCAACGGAGAAGCAAUGAAUCAGAUCUGAGUCUUGGCCUCAGGGAUCACAUUCUAUUGGGGACAACAGACAUUUGCACAGAUAAUUACUAUAUAAACUACACAGUAGAGGAUCCAAGAGGGAACCUGCAGAGAGAAAACCUGGAUUACACUUUGGGAGUUGAGGGUGGUGACAGGAAAGGCUUUGGGAUAAGGUAGCCUUUAAGCUGGGCUGAGGUUGGAUGGAAGGGCUCCUAGGUUGGUAGAACUGCGCAAAGUCACGGAGGCGGGAGAGUGAGGGGCCGGCAGGAAAUGGCAAAAUGCCUGAUGUCAGCCUAGAGCACAGGUGGGAUGUAAUUGCUUUCACCACAGCGAUUCGGUUUGUAACCAGCCCUGAGGAACCCUCCCAGGGGCUAAUGCCUCCCAACCCUUCCCUGCAUCCGCCGGACACCUCGGAUGGCUUUGGAUGGCUCCUAGGGGACCAGAAGACCACUGUCUUUCUUGUUUGCUACUUCACUGCCCUGCUUGGCCCUACAUUCGACUCCUUCAAAUUAGCCUCUCCUGCAUCAUCUCAAGUGCCCCCUGGAGGUGCUCCUGCCUCUUCUCUCCCUGCUUACACGCAUCUCAUCCUUCAAGGACAGAGGAGUCCUGCUUCCUCCAGGGAAGCCCUCCUAACCACUCCAGCUCACUCUGGCCUCCUCAUCAGAUCACCUGAAAUGCCUGAAGUAACCAUGUGGUUCACUCAAUGACCCCUUUUCAGUAAAGGUGCUUUGUCACAUGCUGUAGAAUGAUGCUACUUUCACAACAAGAAAUUCACUAGAGUCUGUUUAAUAUAUGCAUAUGUAUAACUGAUUCACUUUGCUGUACAGCAGAAACUAACACAACAUUGUAAAUCAACUACACUCCAAUAAAAAUUAAUUAAAAAAAGAAAUCCACUGUCUAAACAAAGAAAGGGAGAUUGAUUACAAGGGACUUAAGAGUCUCAAGUGACCUAACGCAGGAAAGGACUUGACCUAGCUCAAGACCCCAGGGGGUUGGUUCUCCCCACCUCUAUCUCUGCCCCUUUGCUCUUUUCUUUUCCCAGACUGGCCUUCUCUGCCCUUCUGAUCAGAUGGGGGAAAACAUGACAGUUCACAGCACCCAUCAUAUCCAGCCAUGUGGAAAGAAUCUCCACAUUUUCAAGAGAGGGUGAUUGGACCAAUUGGAGCAGGUGUCCCACUCUAGGCCAAUCAGCUUUGGGAGGGGAAUGGGGUCACAUGGUGCUAACACGGCUGCCAGGCUACCCCUCUGGGAGUCAUUCCUCACAGUCCUGGGGGUUGGUGAGUGGUCUGUUCUAAGAGAAAGGAAUUGUCAUGAGCAGAGCAGGUACCCCAAAGGUGCCUGUUACAUAUCUACUGAUGUAAUGUGACUAUGUGCUCAUGAAUUUCAGUUCCAGACUAUCCUACUGACCUACUCUGCGACUUCAGGCAAGUCCCUACCCUCCUCUUGGGGUUGCAGUUUCUUCAUUUGUACACAGAGGAUGGUGGGUCUAAGUGUUCUUUUGGGCUCCCUAACUCUCUUGGACUUUGGGCCAAUUACCCUUUUUGAAUCUCAGUUUUCUCAUUUAUGAAAUGGGAUAAUGAUAUCUACCUCACAGCGUUAUUGUAAGAGUGAGCAUGAACAUAUCUAACAAGCGUUGGGUACAGAAAUGCUCAAGAAAUGCUAGUGACUCUCGUAGAUUUAAAUUGGGGUGGCUGCCUUGCUCACAGUGAUUUCCCCCAAGGGUCAUGGCUGUGAUGCCCUCAUGUGUUUGGGAGAAUUGCUCCUCCUUUAGUUGGGGGCUGCCAUCCUCUGAUAGUGAUUUGCAAGGAGUGAGCAUGGGUCCCAAAUUGGAUCAUUCAAAGUGCUUCUCGGGGGCUUUUUUCCAACUGCUGCCCUUUUGUCUCUGUUUGCAGAACUGUGAGAGCAGGAAGCUUGCCAACAGCCAGGUCCCCAACCUUGUGGAGAAAGUGAUCUGGAAAAGUGAUGCUGACAUGAAGAGGAUGUUUGAGUACUUGGUUCCAGACCUCACUAAAUCCAGUUACAUCCUUGCCAUGAACCAACGGCUCCUGAUAAUACCUUCUCCCUUCCCUUUCUAAGCCUCAGUAUCCUUAUCUAUAAAAUAAUGGGGCUGCAUCCUUCCCCCUUUAUCUCUGAUGCUCUAUUACUAUGUUCAUUAAUUUAUUCUUUCCAUCAAUUAGUCAGUCAGCAUCCCUUGUGCAUCUGUUCUGUCUCUGGCCCUAUGGUGGACACUGAGACUCUUGGUAAAGGAAUAAUUCCCAUCCCCGGUUCUCAAGACUCAGAGUUAGGCAGGGGAGGGAGUUAAGCAACCAUUCAGGACUGAGUGUGGUAACGGCUGUGACAGAGGGAAGCACAAAAACUGUGGGGAUGUCAGAGAAGGAGACAUAUCCUCAUUUGUAAGUCUUCCUGGAGGAGGUGGCAGGAGCUGAGUUUUUCAGACAGGGGUGGGCGCGGAGAGAGGAGGAAGAGUAUUCCAGGCAGAAGAACCUGCCUUUGUAAGGGCCCAAAAGAGAAUGAGAGAAAGUAGCUGCCUGGGGCCGGAGGGGAGGGGACACAGGAGGUGACCUUCUUUGUAUUUUCUACCCAUGUAACUUCUGGGAAAACAAGAAAAAACUCCAUUUUUUAAAGCUUGGAAAAUCCCCAGGGUGGAGUCUUUAAACAGGGAUGAAAAGAAGUGACUUCUGACCACAGUAAAGCCCUGGAAUGAAUGAUGCUUCCCCUAGUGGGCUGCCCCAUUGGUCCUUGGUCCCAUCACGAAAUCCACGCUCACAGUUGCAUUCAGCGGCUGGUCCUAAGGCUGUUGGAUCCAUCUAAAAAUAGGAAGGCCUGGAGCCUAAGGCCAAGCAGAUGACAGAAGAGCAGCCCAGGAAGGCCUGGGAGGAGUGUAAACAUCCCCACCUCAUAGGAAACACACUCAUUACAUUCUGAGCAAAAGCGGUUAGUGAUGCACCCUGGAGAAAAUACGCAGUUAUUGCCCCCAAACAUGCCAAAGCCCUCCUAAUGACUGCACGCCUGCUCCGAAGCAGAAACUGUUCCAGAUGCUGCUGCUUGUCUCUGGAAGAGCCCUUCCUUCUUCCUGCCUGAGGUUCCGGAAUUUUCCUUGGAUUCUAGUCCUUAGGGAGACAUAUGGUGGGCUGGGGUGGGGAAAGUGAUUGCCCUCCUGGGCCUCAUAGGGGCAGCCUAGGGGAUCUCUGCCUUACAGACUGCUGUGGAGGCUGUGCCUUCCUGCCUGCCUGGUGUGGUGGGGGAAGGAGGGUGCCAGGCGCGAAGCUGGGAGCCAGCGCUCUAGAUGACGCUGGGGUGAGGGAGGUGAGCUCUACACUUGAGCGUUUUCAGCUUCUGCAUCUAUAAUGAGUAAUGAGUCUAUAGGGAAGCAGUAAUUUGCACACUUGAAGCCCCAAACACACUCAGCGAUGGCUGCCACUGGACGAGCCCUGGGCUUGGAACUAUCUCCCGGCUGGGUGACUCUAGGCAGUUGCCCCACCUCUGUGAACCUCCAUACCCUCAUCUGUAAACUGGGGAUGGUUUUGGAAAUUAACAUUUUUUUCUCUUGUUAAAGAACUCAUGCAUGCUUAUUAUCUAUUUUUUAAAUAUGUAAU
Molecule: long non-coding RNA, 14107 nt
Organism: Aethalodelphis obliquidens (Pacific white-sided dolphin)
Lineage: Eukaryota; Metazoa; Chordata; Mammalia; Artiodactyla; Delphinidae
Exons: 3
Source: RefSeq, a predicted model, not a curated record